Molecule: ribosomal RNA, 450 nt
Filed under: uncultured Anaerolineaceae bacterium
Lineage: Bacteria; Bacillati; Chloroflexota; Anaerolineae; Anaerolineales; Anaerolineaceae
Description: bacterial SSU rRNA
Rfam family: Bacterial small subunit ribosomal RNA
Source: RNAcentral
CCCGCACAAGCAGCGAGCGUGUGGUUUAAUUCGAUGCUACACGAAGAACCUUACCCGGGUUUGACAUGCAAGUGGUAGUGAUCCGAAAGGUGAACGACCCCGCAAGGGAGCUUGCACAGGUGUUGCAUGGCUGUCAUCAGCUCGUGUCGUGAGAUGUUCGGUUAAGUCCGCUAACGAGCGCAACCCUCGCUGUAUGUUACAUGUGUCAUACAGGACCGCCGGUAUCAAGCCGGAGGAAGGUGGGGAUGACGUCAAGUCCGCAUGGCCUUUAUGUCCGGGGCUACACACACGCUACAAUGGUCGGUACAAUGGGUUGCUAAGCCGCGAGGUGGAGCCAAUCCCCCAAAGCCGGCCUCAGUUCAGAUUGCAGGCUGCAACUCGCCUGCAUGAAGCUGGAGUUGCUAGUAAACGCGCGUCAGCUAUAGUGCGUUGAAUACGUUCUCGGGCCUU